This is a long non-coding RNA of Dreissena polymorpha, 569 nucleotides long. RefSeq lists it as uncharacterized. The transcript has 2 exons. The record is from RefSeq and is a predicted model, not a curated record. Lineage: Eukaryota; Metazoa; Mollusca; Bivalvia; Myida; Dreissenidae.
GCAUCACUUUGUCCGGACUCUAAUUCAAAUUGUAUUCAUCCGAUCUUCACCAAACUUGGUCAGCAGUUGCAUCUAGUUGAUAUCUAGGCCAAGUUCGAAUAUGGGUCAUGCCGGGUCAAAAACUAGGUCAUAGGGUCAAUUAGUGCAUUUUCAAUGGCGCCACUUUGUCCGGACUCUAAUUCAAAUUGUAUUCAUCCGAUCUUCACCAAACUUGGUCAGAAGUUGUAUCUAGACAAUAUCUAGGUCAAGUUCGAAUAUGGGUCAUGCCGGGUCAAAAACUAGGUCACAGGGUCACUUAGUGUAUUUCAAGCAUUUAGCAUGGUGUCCGCUCUCUAAUUGAAGUAGUUUUCAUCCGAUCUUCACCAAACUUGGUCAGAAGUUGUAUCUAGACAAUGUUUAGGUCAAGUUCAAAUAUGGGUCAUGCCGGGUCAAAAACUAGGUCACAGGGUCACUUAAACCAUUUCAAGCAUUUAGCAUGGUGUCCGCUCUCUAAUUGAAGUAGUUAUCAUCCGAUCUUCACCAAAUUUGGUCAGAAGUUGUGUCUAGACAAUAUCUACAUGUAGGUCAAG